RNAcentral lists this ribosomal RNA (427 nucleotides) under uncultured bacterium. Its description in RNAcentral is "partial 16S ribosomal RNA". It matches the Rfam family "Bacterial small subunit ribosomal RNA", at positions 355 to 774 of the family's 1533-position model. The record is from RNAcentral.
UGGGGAAUAUUGGACAAUGGGCGAAAGCCUGAUCCAGCCAUACCGCGUGUGUGAAGAAGGUCUUCGGAUUGUAAAGCACUUUAAGUUGGGAGGAAGGGCAUUAACCUAAUACGUUAGUGUUUUGACGUUACCGACAGAAUAAGCACCGGCUAACUCUGUGCCAGCAGCCGCGGUAAUACAGAGGGUGCAAGCGUUAAUCGGAAUUACUGGGCGUAAAGCGCGCGUAGGUGGUUUGUUAAGUUGGAUGUGAAAUCCCCGGGCUCAACCUGGGAACUGCAUUCAAAACUGACUGACUAGAGUAUGGUAGAGGGUGGUGGAAUUUCCUGUGUAGCGGUGAAAUGCGUAGAUAUAGGAAGGAACACCAGUGGCGAAGGCGACCACCUGGACUAAUACUGACACUGAGGUGCGAAAGCGUGGGGAGCAAACA